Molecule: ribosomal RNA, 445 nt
Filed under: Scolopendra dawydoffi
Lineage: Eukaryota; Metazoa; Arthropoda; Chilopoda; Scolopendromorpha; Scolopendridae
Description: partial 16S ribosomal RNA
Rfam family: Bacterial large subunit ribosomal RNA
Source: RNAcentral
GGUUUUAUGAAUUUUUAUAUAGAAUCUGGCCUGCCCAGUGUUUAUGAAUGGCCGCGGUAUAUUGACCGUGCGAAGGUAGCAUAAUAAUUAGGCUAUUGAUUGUAGUCUUGUAUGAAAGGUUGGACGUGGGAAUGACUUUCUUAUUGGUAAUGGUGAAUUUAAAUAGUCAGUAAAAAUGCUGAUAUGUUAUAAAAAGACGAGAAGACCCUAUUGAGUUUUAUAUUUAUUUUGUUUAAUAUAUUUGGUUGGGGUGACUUUUAAUAAACAUUAUAUUUUAAUGAUCCAUUAUUAGUGAUUAAUAGAAUAAAUUACCAUAGGGAUAACAGCGUAAUUUAUCUGGAGAGUUCUUAUUGAUGGAUGAGUUUGUGACCUCGAUGUUGGAUUAGGAUUCCUACUAGGUGCAGGUGUUUAGUAAGGUAGACUGUUCGUCUAUUAAAAUCCUACA